GAUGAACGCUGGUGGCGUGCCUAAUACAUGCAAGUCGAGCGAACGGACGAGAAGCUUGCUUCUCUGAUGUUAGCGGCGGACGGGUGAGUAACACGUGGAUAACCUACCUAUAAGACUGGGAUAACUUCGGGAAACCGGAGCUAAUACCGGAUAAUAUUUUGUACCGCAUGGUUCAAAAGUGAAAGACGGUCUUGCUGUCACUUAUAGAUGGAUCCGCGCUGCAUUAGCUAGUUGGUAAGGUAACGGCUUACCAAGGCAACGAUGCAUAGCCGACCUGAGAGGGUGAUCGGCCACACUGGAACUGAGACACGGUCCAGACUCCUACGGGAGGCAGCAGUAGGGAAUCUUCCGCAAUGGGCGAAAGCCUGACGGAGCAACGCCGCGUGAGUGAUGAAGGUCUUCGGAUCGUAAAACUCUGUUAUUAGGGAAGAACAUAUGUGUAAGUAACUGUGCACAUCUUGACGGUACCUAAUCAGAAAGCCACGGCUAACUACGUG
This 497-nucleotide ribosomal RNA is filed under the name uncultured bacterium. Its description in RNAcentral is "partial 16S ribosomal RNA". It matches the Rfam family "Bacterial small subunit ribosomal RNA", at positions 28 to 507 of the family's 1533-position model. The record is from RNAcentral.